This is an RNA transcript of Amphiprion ocellaris (clown anemonefish), 5005 nucleotides long. It is a transcript of the gene named ATPase phospholipid transporting 8A2, with no coding region annotated. The record is from RefSeq and is a predicted model, not a curated record. Lineage: Eukaryota; Metazoa; Chordata; Actinopteri; Pomacentridae. The transcript is spliced from 38 exons.
CCUCGGUACGUUGUGUGGCUGUCUGAGAGCUGUCCUCCGCUAUAACAUCACCUCCAACCGACAAAUAAUGAUCCCCGACCAGCAGCAGCAGCAGACGACACGGCGGCCGCAGUCCGGGCCCGGAGCAGCGUCCCUCCGCUCGGUCGGUGCGCCAUGAGCAUGAAGCCGCUCCGGCCUCCUCAUCUCAGCCACACCGACACUCGAUCACCACCAGCAAGAUGUAUUUCAACCGGAGAGGCAAGAAGAUACACAGCGAGGGAGAGCAGUUAGUGUUGACCACCAUUAGGCAGGAGGCCUCUGAACUGCAGGACCAAGGCCAAGGCGCUACCAUGCGUGCCCGCCUCACAGACAGGUUUGACAAAACCUCGCCUCUCUCCCAUCAAUCCAACGGUGCAGGACCCGCUUGCUCGUCCGCCGGUUACCGCAAGGCAGAUGAUGAGAUGUCCGGGACCACUUCCCAGGCGGAUCCCGUAGACGCCACGGCGCGGACGGUGCUGCUCAACCGGCCACAGAGCACCAAGUUCUGCGACAACCACGUCAGCACCACCAAGUAUGGGGUUCUCACGUUCCUGCCCCGGUUCCUGUAUGAGCAGAUCAGACGGGCUGCCAAUGCCUUCUUCCUGUUCAUCGCACUCAUGCAGCAAAUCCCUGAUGUAUCACCGACCGGUCGCUACACCACACUGGUCCCCCUCAUCUUCAUCCUCACGGUGGCCGGGAUCAAAGAGAUCAUAGAGGACUAUAAAAGGCAUAAAGCAGACAACACUGUCAACAAGAAGAAGACAACAGUGCUGCGGAGCGGAGCUUGGCAGACGAUUAUCUGGAAGCAGGUGGCAGUAGGAGACAUAGUGAAGGUGACCAAUGGCCAACAUCUUCCAGCUGACAUGGUCAUUGUGUCCUCCAGUGAGCCGCAGGCCAUGUGUUACACUGAGACCUCUAACCUGGAUGGAGAAACCAACCUGAAGAUCAGACAGGGUCUCUCACUCACAGCCGGUCUUCAGACUCUGGAGGAUUUGAUAGCGAUGUCCGGUUGUCUGGAGUGUGAAGGCCCAAACAGACACCUGUACGACUUCAAUGGCACUCUGCGACUGGAGAACCAGAUUCCAGCUCCUCUGGGUCCAGACCAGGUGUUGCUGCGUGGCGCUCAGCUCAGGAACACUCAGUGGGUUGUAGGAAUCGUCGUCUACACCGGCCACGACUCUAAACUGAUGCAGAACUCUACCAAGGCGCCGCUGAAGCGUUCUAAUGUGGAGCGGGUCACCAACAUGCAAAUCCUCGUCCUGUUUGGCAUCCUGCUGGUCAUGGCGCUGGUCAGCUCUGUGGGCGCCGCCAUCUGGAACAAAGUACACACAGAAGACGCCUGCUGGUACCUGUCACGAGCCGCUGACAUCUCCACGAACUUUGCGUACAACCUGCUGACGUUCAUCAUCCUGUACAACAACCUGAUCCCCAUCAGCCUGCUGGUCACUCUGGAGGUGGUAAAGUUCACACAGGCGCUUUUCAUCAACUGGGAUGUAGAGAUGUACUACUCAGAGACGGACACACCAGCUAUGGCUCGAACGUCCAAUCUUAACGAGGAACUGGGCCAGGUGAAAUACCUCUUUUCCGACAAGACAGGAACUCUAACCUGUAAUGUCAUGCACUUUAAGAAGUGUACCAUUGCGGGAAUUACAUACGGCCACUUCCCUGAUCUUGACUGUGAUCGUUCAAUGGAGGACUUCAGCAAUCUUCCGUCCAACAGCCACAACUCUACAGAGUUUGACGACCCAACUCUCAUUCAAAACAUUGAGAAGAACCAUCUUACAUCACCUCAGAUCUGUGAGUUCCUGACAAUGAUGGCGGUUUGCCACACGGUGGUACCAGAGAGGGAGGACAACCAGAUCAUCUACCAGGCCUCCUCGCCAGACGAAGGCGCCUUGGUCAAAGGAGCCAAAGGUCUCGGCUUCGUCUUCACAGCUCGGACCCCACAUUCAGUCAUCAUCGACGCUAGAGGAAACGAGAUGAGCUAUGAACUCCUGAAUGUGCUGGAGUUUUCCAGUAACCGCAAACGCAUGUCUGUGGUGGUCAGGACGCCCAGUGGGAGGCUACGGCUGUACUGCAAAGGAGCUGAUAAUGUUAUUUUCGAGCGCCUGACGGAGGCGUCUCAGUACAAAGAUUUAACUGUUGCUCAUCUGGAACAAUUUGCCACUGAAGGCCUGAGGACGCUGUGUUUUGCGUAUGUGGACCUGGAGGAAGACGCCUACCAGGAGUGGCUGAAGGAAUACAAUCGUGUCAGCAUCGUACUCAAAGACCGCGCUCAGAAACUGGAGGAGGUUUAUGAGCUACUGGAAAAGAACUUAAUGCUGCUGGGUGCUACGGCCAUAGAGGACCGUCUCCAGGCGGGCGUCCCAGAAACCAUCGCCACUCUGAUGAGGGCUGACAUCAAGAUCUGGGUCCUCACCGGAGACAAGCAGGAGACGGCAAUCAACAUAGGUUACUCCUGUCGCCUGGUGACACACGGCAUGUCCCUCAUCAUCGUCAACGAGGACUCUCUAGAUGCUACUCGUGCCACGCUCACAGCUCACUGCUCAUCCCUCGGAGACUCUCUGAGGAAAGAAAACGAACUGGCGCUGAUCAUCGAUGGCCAGACGCUGAAAUACGCCCUGUCCUUCGAGCUCCGCCAGGCCUUCCUUGACUUGGCGUUAUCCUGCAAAGCUGUCAUCUGCUGCCGAGUGUCUCCGCUGCAGAAGUCCGAGAUUGUGGACAUGGUGAAGAAACACGUGAAGGCCAUCACGCUGGCGAUUGGUGACGGCGCCAACGACGUGGGGAUGAUUCAGACGGCUCACGUCGGAGUCGGGAUCAGCGGCAACGAGGGCAUGCAGGCCACCAACUCCUCGGACUACUCCAUUGCACAGUUCUCCUAUCUGGAGAAGCUCCUGUUGGUCCACGGGGCUUGGAGCUACAACCGGGUCACAAAAUGCAUCCUCUACUGUUUCUAUAAGAAUGUGGUCCUCUACAUAAUAGAGCUCUGGUUCGCCUUUGUGAACGGGUUCUCUGGCCAGAUCCUGUUUGAGCGCUGGUGUAUAGGCCUCUACAACGUGAUAUUUACUGCGCUGCCUCCGUUCACUCUGGGGAUUUUCGACCGGCCGUGCAGCCAGCAGAACAUGCUCCGCUUCCCACAGCUGUACCGAAUAACCCAGAACGCCGAGGGCUUCAACACCAAGGUGUUCUGGGGACACUGUAUCAAUGCACUGAUUCAUUCAAUUAUUCUCUUUUGGUUUCCGCUCAAAAUGUUAGAACACGAUUCUCCCUUCAGUAACGGUCAGGGAAAUGACUACCUGUUUGUGGGAAAUAUGGUCUACACAUAUGUGGUAGUUACAGUGUGUCUGAAGGCUGGAAUGGAGACCACCGCUUGGACCCGGUUUUCCCACCUGGCGGUAUGGGGAAGCAUGGUGCUCUGGAUGCUCUUCUUCGCCGUCUACUCCGCCAUCUGGCCCACCAUUCCCAUCGCCCCCGACAUGCUGGGCCAGGCUGGCAGGGUGAUGCAGUGCUGGCACUUCUGGCUGGGCCUGGUCCUGGUGCCUACUGCGUGUUUACUCAAAGACUUUGCUUGGACAGCCACUCGUCGCACUGUGAGGAAGUCUCUGCUGGAGGAGGUGCAGGAGUUGGAGGCGCGAGCCGUCGAUCCCGGGGCUGCAGUGCUUAGAGACGCCAGCGGCCGCAGGUGGAUGAAUUUGAACUGCUGUACAGAUCUGUCUAAACGAACGAGCCCAUCUGCUGACAAGAGUCUUUAGGAAAACACCUUCGAGCGUCGGACGCUCAAACUCGGUGCAGCAGACGGUGUCACAUGGCUAUGCCUUCUCUCAGGAGGAGCACGGCGUGGUGUCCCAGUCCCAGGUGGUUCGCUCCUACGACACCACCCGCCAGCGCCCCAGCCUCUAGCCCCACCCCUGAUCAAGGCGUUGGCUCACCGUAGCAACGGUUGUCCAGGUGACAGCGGAGACAGACUUAAAGUGACACCCUCACGCCGGGUGACCGACCCCUGCUGUGGCCUUACUGGAACAAUGACCUGACCCCUCGCUGGGGGCGGGGGGUCACGGUCAGGCGUGGUGGCCGUCGCUGGCGCAUGGAGGACCGACUUGGGAAAAGGGACCAGGCCACAUAUACUGAAUAAACAUUGUUGAAACUCACAAAAAGCUGCACAGGCAUGAGCAAUCACAUCCGCGCACAGACAUAACAAGUCAAACUCAGAGACUGCUCCUCAUAUCUGUAUACCCCCCAGACUGGGUUUGCUUCAUGCCGCUGUGUGUCAACAUGUGUGUGUGUGUGCGCGUGUGCGUUCCAGUGCGUCUGUAUCUGCCUGUGCAUGUGUGUCUGCACGCAUUGGCGCUCCCGUGUUUGUGUGCAUGUGUGUGUCGGUCCAUGUGCGUUUCGCUUCCCCCCCCCCAUCUCCCGCUUACGAGGCGGCUGGUCUGUCAUCACAUGCCGACGCGGAAAGAGACGUCAUAAUAAACGCACACACUCACACACGUACAGAUGAAUUCCUUUUAAAGGGAUGGAGGGAAGCGUAGACCUGCCGGAGCCCUGCACCCCCAGCUACAGGCCGUAACCCCCCCCCACCCUCAUUCCAUCGCAGCACCAAGCCUCACUGCCAAACACCACAGAGAUGCCACUGAGGCAGAACCCCAAACUGGACCACCACCCUGCUGCAACCCCUCCUGCCCCGCUGGGACCUCCUCUUGCUUAUCUGCCCUCCUUAUCUCCUCCAUCUCAUAGCCGCUCUGCAGCCUCCAUGUCUCUCCUCCAUUUAAAAAAAAAAUCCACUUUAUUUUUCCUGUUUUUUUUUUUUUUUUUUUUUUUUUAUUCUGACCGCUCCUGUGAUCCCCGAUGCCACCUGUCUAGCAUCACCGGCUGAUGUAGAAGCAGCAUGCCAGGCAUCAGCGCUUCCUUCGGUUCUGUUGGACUUCCAUUCUUUACUGGACUGUUUCUUUCCUUUUUUUUUAUUAUUAUUAAAGUGGACAUUAAUGUG